RNAcentral lists this ribosomal RNA (305 nucleotides) under uncultured bacterium. RNAcentral describes it as "bacterial SSU rRNA". It matches the Rfam family "Bacterial small subunit ribosomal RNA", at positions 337 to 658 of the family's 1533-position model. The record is from RNAcentral.
GCCCACGGGGGGCAGCAGUGGGGGAUAUUGCACAAUGGGGGAAACCCUGAUGCAGCGACGCCGCGUGGGCGAAGAAGUAUUUCGGUAUGUAAAGCCCUAUCAGCAGGGAAGAAGAAAUGACGGUACCUGAGUAAGAAGCACCGGCUAAAUACGUGCCAGCAGCCGCGGUAAUACGUAUGGUGCAAGCGUUAUCCGGAUUUACUGGGUUUAAAGGGUGCGUAGGCGGGUUAUCAAGUCAGCGGUAAAAUACGGGGGCUCAACCUCCGCCCGCCGUUGAAACUGACGGUCUUGAGUGGGCGAGAAGG